ACUAUCCAUUUUUCCAUCCCUGGACACGAAAAAACGAACAUCCUUAGCGUUAUUCAAAUCCACCACAGCCCCGAUCAGCUCCAGAUUCCCCAAAUUUGCAUCACUGGACAAACUUUUCCUCAAAUUACAAGCUGCAUUAAUCGCCUCCUUCGCGAUUUUGUCAAAAUUACAGUCUUUUUCGACAAUUAAAGCUCCAAUAACUUCAAAACCCUUGGGGAGCAAUGUUCUUAUAUCAUCUGAUUCUUUAGCGAAAUCCGGCGAUAGAGAAUUGGAGGAGGUAGUGUGAAUACAUCGGAAAGUAGAGAUAACGGUGUAGCGAGGGAAGAAUGGAGAGCCGAUGAGCCAUUGAAUACCCGAUUCGUUCCUGAUAAUCUGGAACCUCCGGCAGAGGAUCCGAAUAGCCGGGUCCUGGUUUUCGCUAGCCAUUGACUGAAAUUCGGAGUUUGUUAACCGGCGUUCAACUGAGCAGCAAGCCGAAACUUGCGAGUUCCAGGUGACUUAAUA
This 504-nucleotide unclassified non-coding RNA is filed under the name Hevea brasiliensis (rubber tree). Lineage: Eukaryota; Viridiplantae; Streptophyta; Magnoliopsida; Malpighiales; Euphorbiaceae. The record is from RNAcentral.